UAUUUUGUAAACACACCACCAGAAGGUAUGUCAGAUUCUUUUGAACUAUGUGCAGCACUAGCAUUAUUGAAUGAAUCCUCUUCGUUAAAGUAUGAUCUUAAGGGAGAGGAGGAAGCUGAAAAGUCCGUAGGAAGAUGAACGUCAGUAGAGUCCUUUCCUGAUAACUGUUGAUUCAUUUUUGAAUCAGCCAAUGCAAUUUGUACCUCAGAGAGCUUACGCUGAGUAAUUUUUGCUUGCUCGGUAAGAUCAUUGACCUGAUCAGAAAGUUUACUUUUCUCUGUCAUUACAGAGGAAUAUGAAUGCUUUAGAUCAUAGAGCUUUUGCUGAGAAUUUAGUAGCUCUUUAGUGCGACCCUCACAAAGUCUCUGGGACUCACGUAACAACUCGUGAAGCCCUUCUAGCUGAGACUCCAAGUAGGAGAUCUUUUGUUUCGACUUCGAAAACUCUUUAAGAUUAUCUUUAUUUUCGUUAAUAGAAGAUAAUAACUUUGAUAAUCCGCUUUGCAUUAUAGCUUUCGAGUAUUUAGCAUCAGACACUGAUUGUUCUAAGGCUGACUCCAACUCUAGCGCACGAGAUUGCAAAUUUUCCAACUCAAUCCGAACAUUCUCAUAUUCGUACUGUAAAUUUAAGCACUUCUGUUGCAACGUACUUUUCUCAUCCCUUUCUCUACGGAGCGAAUCUUCAAAAGACAAUAUGGCAGUAUUGGACACAUCAAGAGCACUAGCGGAUGCUUCAAUCACAUUUGUCUGCAUCUCCACUCGAUCAUGCAUCUCAAUUAGCUUCGUUUCCAGCUCAUAAUUUCCAUACUCCAAAGCCUCGCAACGAGAACGAUAAUCGACUAACUCUUCUG
Schizosaccharomyces pombe (fission yeast) is the source of this 850-nucleotide non-coding RNA. Lineage: Eukaryota; Fungi; Ascomycota; Schizosaccharomycetes; Schizosaccharomycetales; Schizosaccharomycetaceae. The record is from the annotation of a GenBank genome assembly.